RNAcentral lists this ribosomal RNA (429 nucleotides) under Gemmatimonadota bacterium. Its description in RNAcentral is "Gemmatimonadetes bacterium partial 16S ribosomal RNA". It matches the Rfam family "Bacterial small subunit ribosomal RNA", at positions 355 to 776 of the family's 1533-position model. Lineage: Bacteria; Pseudomonadati; Gemmatimonadota. The record is from RNAcentral.
UAGGGAAUCUUCGGCAAUGGACGAAAGUCUGACCGAGCAACGCCGCGUGAGUGAAGAAGGUUUUCGGAUCGUAAAACUCUGUUGUUAGAGAAGAACAAGGACGUUAGUAACUGAACGUCCCCUGACGGUAUCUAACCAGAAAGCCACGGCUAACUACGUGCCAGCAGCCGCGGUAAUACGUAGGUGGCAAGCGUUGUCCGGAUUUAUUGGGCGUAAAGCGAGCGCAGGCGGUUUCUUAAGUCUGAUGUGAAAGCCCCCGGCUCAACCGGGGAGGGUCAUUGGAAACUGGGAGACUUGAGUGCAUAAGAGGAGAGUGGAAUUCCAUGUGUAGCGGUGAAAUGCGUAGAUAUAUGGAGGAACACCAGUGGCGAAGGCGGCUCUCUGGUCUGUAACUGACGCUGAGGCUCGAAAGCGUGGGGAGCAAACAGG